RNAcentral lists this ribosomal RNA (250 nucleotides) under uncultured bacterium. Its description in RNAcentral is "partial 16S ribosomal RNA". It matches the Rfam family "Bacterial small subunit ribosomal RNA", at positions 355 to 621 of the family's 1533-position model. The record is from RNAcentral.
UAGGGAAUUUCCCACAAUGGGCGAAAGCCUGAUGGAGCAACGCCGCGUGCAGGACGAAGGCCUUCGGGUCGUAAACUGCUUUUAUGAGUGAUGAAUAAGACAGUAGCUCAAGAAUAAGGGUCGGCUAACUACGUGCCAGCAGCCGCGGUCAUACGUAGGACCCAAGCGUUAUCCGGAAUUACUGGGCGUAAAGAGUUGCGUAGGCGGCUUGUUAAGCAAGGUGUGAAAUCGUACGGCUCAACCGUAUACA